RNAcentral lists this ribosomal RNA (200 nucleotides) under uncultured bacterium. RNAcentral describes it as "partial 16S ribosomal RNA". It matches the Rfam family "Bacterial small subunit ribosomal RNA", at positions 328 to 539 of the family's 1533-position model. The record is from RNAcentral.
ACGCUCGACACCUACGGGAGCAGCAGGUGGGGAAUAUUGCACAAUGGGGGAAACCCUGAUGCAGCGACGCCGCGUGGAGGAAGAAGGUCUUCGGAUUGUAAACUCCUGUUGUUAGGGGAAAAAGAGGAUGGUACCCAACAAGGAAGUGACGGCUAACUACGUGCCAGCAGCCGUGGUAAUCUGAGGCGGGCUGGCAAGGC